UGUCUCCUCCAACUCUCCUUGAAUUGGAUUUAAGCCCGCUCCUUGAGCGGGCUUUUUUUU
This 60-nucleotide non-coding RNA is filed under the name Noviherbaspirillum sp. Root189. Its description in RNAcentral is "Betaproteobacteria toxic small RNA". It matches the Rfam family "Betaproteobacteria toxic small RNA". From Rfam's summary of the family: Overexpression in amino aid rich medium attenuates growth, suggesting role in repressing amino acid intake and metabolism. Lineage: Bacteria; Pseudomonadati; Pseudomonadota; Betaproteobacteria; Burkholderiales; Oxalobacteraceae. The record is from Rfam by way of RNAcentral.